This 1026-nucleotide long non-coding RNA is filed under the name Mus musculus (house mouse). RNAcentral's name for it is "predicted gene, 32817, transcript variant 6 (Gm32817)". The record is from RNAcentral. Lineage: Eukaryota; Metazoa; Chordata; Mammalia; Rodentia; Muridae.
AGUCCCGGCUAGGGACACAGCUCUUAGACUUUGAGCUAGACAACCAGGAGGACAGGAGGACCUAGUAUCCUGCCUCCAUCAGCCCAUCAUUUAUGCAAAUGCUACUUAGUUGCCGUCUAGAUGCAGGAUGCUGUCUGCCCUGUUAAAUGCUGUGUGAACCCAGAUGGAAGCUGAGCAGACAUCACACUCGUGAGCAGCUCCCCUUCCUAUGUUAUACGACCUCGUUCGCUGAAGUCAAAGAUGCAGAGGGGCCAAGGUGUGGGCUCCGGACCUCACACCAGUGUGGCAGAUUCAACAAGCCCAGAAUAAGCCUCUUCCUUUGCUCACAAUAAGAUUUAUUAUAGAAGCAACAACUUCUGCAUACCAGAGGUGAGAGAUGCAGCAAUCCUCUCCGUGCUCAUGAAGCUUAAAAUUUGGGGGAGAAAGUAGAGAAAAAUUAAGCCAACUGCCUCUUCAUUCCUCAGUCACACUCCUCCUCUGACCCUGCUCCAGGAGGCUCAUCUUGUCAGACUUCACACUGAAUGAGCGCUGAGGAUGCUGUAGAGUAUGAGCUGUGUGCAGGUGAUAGCAGUGGAAAGAAGACUAAGACAGACUCCAUCUAGAAACCAGAAUGACCUCUUUUAUGGAAAAAGAGACUGUAUCACUCGUGUUUCUACCCACAAAAACCUCCACUGUGAGCUCUCUCUCACCUAGGCAGGAGUCUGCAUGGCCCCGCUCUUGCCACAUCGCCAACCCCAGCCUUUGUCACUCUCUCAUAACCACUCUGUCCCUGUACAGAUACAUGAUCUGUUCCUCCCACACAUCAGCUCUUCCUGACGCUGGGCCUUUGCAUAUGUUCUUCUGCCUCAUGCCUUUCCUCCUCUUCCUGCAGGAUUGCUAUCUUCUGGUCCUGUACUCCUCAAGCUCAAAGGCCAACGUCCUGGCAUUUGUGUGACGGCUUUUGCCCUACCCUGCAGAAUUUGCAAUAGGCAGUCUCUACAUGUACUCAGGGCCCAGUGGGCAUUCAACAUGUUCAUUGAAUGACAA